Molecule: transfer RNA, 73 nt
Filed under: Stenodactylus petrii
Lineage: Eukaryota; Metazoa; Chordata; Lepidosauria; Squamata; Gekkonidae
Description: tRNA-Asn
Source: RNAcentral
UAGGUUAAAGCCCGUUGGAUUGGGUGUCUAGUUGUUAACUAGAUUUUUCCGGGAUCGAGGCCCGGUGGCCUAG